This is a long non-coding RNA of Perca fluviatilis (European perch), 660 nucleotides long. RefSeq lists it as uncharacterized. The record is from RefSeq and is a predicted model, not a curated record. The transcript has 2 exons. Lineage: Eukaryota; Metazoa; Chordata; Actinopteri; Perciformes; Percidae.
CUGGAGUCACCACUCCACCAUACAGAGCCAUCCCUGAGCUGCAUUGGAAAACAUGAUGGCACCACUGACUGAUGACUCUUGCUGACUGCUGCAGACAGUGCUGGGAUGCCUGAUGUCUGCUCCCACAAAGCUGACCUGCAACUUUUUUUAUUUUACUCUCCAUCCCUGAGAGGAAAGAAAGGAUGGGACUGAUAGAUGAUACUCCUGCCUGGUUCAAGAUUUAGGAAGUGUUUGUGUAAGACAUAUGGAGAGUCUCAAAGACGUGCGAGCCAGCCAGCAGUGUCCUUCAGCGUGCACUAGCGAGAAACAGCCAUGCAUUAACAGGCCCCCGACAGACACUAUAUUUAGUGAAGGAGACACAUUCCACCACAUGUGCUGAUGGAUGGCACCAGGGUGACGAUUUGACUUUGAGGCGCCAAAUGUGUUGAGCCUGACGACCUGAGCCUGCCAAUGCAUUUCAUCCCUGACCUUGGGGGGGCUCCCAAGUCCCGCCACUCCCUACCUUGACUGUAGUCUCUGACGUAAUAAGGAGGAUUGGUGAACGACUGUGAUACAGACAGGCAGCAGCUGAGCCCAAGGGAAGGAUUUAGCUGAUGUGGAGUGAUCCUAGGAAAACUAAUACAUGAUCUGAUUAAAUAUGUGCAUCUCUCCUUUUCUACA